RNAcentral lists this ribosomal RNA (585 nucleotides) under uncultured bacterium. RNAcentral describes it as "partial 16S ribosomal RNA". It matches the Rfam family "Bacterial small subunit ribosomal RNA", at positions 355 to 1375 of the family's 1533-position model. The record is from RNAcentral.
UGGGGAAUUUUGGACAAUGGGCGAAAGCCUGAUCCAGCAAUGCCGCGUGUGUGAAGAAGGCCUUCGGGUUGUAAAGCACUUUUGUCCGGAAAGAAAUCCUUGGCUCUAAUACAGUCGGGGGAUGACGGUACCGGAAGAAUAAGCACCGGCUAACUACGUGCCAGCAGCCGCGGUAAUACGUAGGGUGCAAGCGUUAAUCGGAAUUACUGGGCGUAAAGCGUGCGCAGGCGGUUUGCUAAGACCGAUGUGAAAUCCCCGGGCUCAACCUGGGAACUGCAUUGGUGACUGGCAGGCUAGAGUAUGGCAGAGGGGGGUAGAAUUCCACGUGUAGCAGUGAAAUGCGUAGAGAUGUGGAGGAAUACAGAUGGCGAAGGCAGCCCCCUGGGCCAAUACUGACGCUCAUGCACGAAAGCGUGGGGAGCAAACAGGAUUAGAUACCCUGGUAGUCCACGCCCUAAACGAUGUCAACUAGUUGUUGGGGAUUCAUUUCCUUAGUAACGUAGCUAACGCGUGAAGUUGACCGCCUGGGGAGUACGGUCGCAAGAUUAAAACUUAAAUGAAUUGACGGGGUCAUAGCUGUUUCCU